GUGAAGCGGGAAAAGCUCAAAUUUAAAAUCUGGCAGUCUUUGGCUGUCCGAAUUGUAUUCUGGAGAAGCGUUUUCCGCGCUGGACCGUGUACAAGUCUCUUGGAAUAGAGCGUCAUAGAGGGUGAGAAUCCCGUCUUUGACACGGACUACCAGUGCUUUGUGAUGCGCUCUCAAAGAGUCGAGUUGUUUGGGAAUGCAGCUCAAAAUGGGUGGUGAAUUCCAUCUAAAGCUAAAUAUUGGCGAGAGACCGAUAGCGAACAAGUACCGUGAGGGAAAGAUGAAAAGCACUUUGGAAAGAGAGUUAAACAGUACGUGAAAUUGCUGAAAGGGAAACGCUUGAAGUCAGUCGCGUCAUCCAGAACUCAGCCUGGCUUUUGCUUGGUGUAUUUUCUGGUUGACGGGCCAGCAUCAGUUUUGACCGCUGGAAAAAGGCCAUGAGAAUGUGGCACCUUCGGGUGUGUUAUAGCCUGUGGUCAUAUACAGCGGUUGGGACUGAGGACCGCAGCACGCCUUUAUGGUUGGGGUUCGCCCACAUUCGUGCUUAGGAUGCUGGCGUAAUGGCUUUAAACGACCCGUCUUGAAACACGGACCAAGGAGUCUAACAUGCCUGCGAGUGUUUGGGUGGAAAACCCGAGCGCGUAAUGAAAGUGAAAGUUGGGAUCCCUGUCGUGGGGAGCACCGACGCCCGGACCAGACCUUUUGUGACGGAUCCGCGGUAGAGCAUGUAUGUUGGGACCCGAAAGAUGGUGAACUAUGCCUGAAUAGGGUGAAGCCAGAGGAAACUCUGGUGGAGGCUCGUAGCGAUUCUGACGUGCAAAUCGAUCGUCAAAUUUGGGUAUAGGGGCGAAAGACUAAUCGAACCAUCUAGUAGCUGGUUCCUGCCGAAGUUUCCCUCAGGAUAGCAGAAACUCAUGUCAGAUUUAUGUGGUAAAGCGAAUGAUUAGAGGCCUUGGGGUUGAAACAACCUUAACCUAUUCUCAAACUUUAAAUAUGUAAGAACGAGCCGUCUCUUAAUUGGACCGCUCGGCGAUUGAGAGUUUCUAGUGGGCCAUUUUUGGUAAGCAGAACUGGCGAUGCGGGAUGAACCGAACGCGAGGUUAAGGUGCCGGAAUGCACGCUCAUCAG
RNAcentral lists this ribosomal RNA (1125 nucleotides) under Panus strigellus. Its description in RNAcentral is "partial large subunit ribosomal RNA". It matches the Rfam family "Eukaryotic large subunit ribosomal RNA", at positions 93 to 1208 of the family's 3401-position model. Lineage: Eukaryota; Fungi; Basidiomycota; Agaricomycetes; Polyporales; Panaceae. The record is from RNAcentral.